RNAcentral lists this ribosomal RNA (463 nucleotides) under uncultured bacterium. RNAcentral describes it as "partial 16S ribosomal RNA". It matches the Rfam family "Bacterial small subunit ribosomal RNA", at positions 331 to 792 of the family's 1533-position model. The record is from RNAcentral.
CCAGACUCCUACGGGAGGCAGCAGUGAGGAAUAUUGGUCAAUGGGCGGGAGCCUGAACCAGCCAAGUCGCGUGAGGGAAGAAGGUACUGAGUAUUGUAAACCUCUUUUGCCAGGGGACAAAGGCGGCCACGGGUGGCCGUAAGAGGGUACCUGGAGAAAAAGCAUCGGCUAACUCCGUGCCAGCAGCCGCGGUAAUACGUAGGGAGCGAGCGUUGUCCGGAAUUACUGGGUGUAAAGGGAGCGUAGGCGGGGAUGCAAGUUGGGUGUCAAAACUACCGGCUCAACUGGUAGUCGCACUCAAAACUGCAGCUCUUGAGUGAAGUAGAGGCAGGCGGAAUUCCUAGUGUAGCGGUGAAAUGCGUAGAUAUUAGGAGGAACACCAGUGGCGAAGGCGGCCUGCUGGGCUUUUACUGACGCUGAGGCUCGAAAGUGUGGGGAGCAAACAGGAUUAGAUACCCUCGUA